GUUUGAAGCAGGAAAUACAACAUAGGAAGUCUGGUAACCAUAGGAAGCCUGGGAUAGGCCUGCUCCAUCUGUGAAAGGAAGGUUCUAAUCAUAUGAUUGGAAGAAUACACUCUACCCACACAGUGCCUUGGUAUAUCCCUGAGCUGAGGGCAUUGAAGCAAGUGUGGAGAUGGCUGGAACACAAGUAGAAGAAAACUUGGGACAAGUCCAAGAGAACACAGGACCCCCGCAGCUUAUUAAGAUCUUCGGGAGAGGUCUGCCUGCAGCUGCCCGCAACUUGUCUGUUGGUGACUCAGGGCUGGGCCUUCUCUAUAACUGUCCUGAGACUUUGGAACAAACUCCCUGUUAUUGCAAGAGCUUCCUCAUCAUUAGCAGGUUCUAAAAGAGCAGUCAAGAUGCAUUUAUUUCAACAAACCUUUGAUUAGCUGUAAGUUGGUUUCUAUUCUGCUGUUUAAGUUGUUUUAAAUUUCUUAUAACUGUUUUAAUUUGGUUUAAAUUCUGGUUUUAUUGUUUGCUUUGUAAAGCAGCACGAGACGGUAUG
Molecule: long non-coding RNA, 541 nt
Organism: Hemicordylus capensis (graceful crag lizard)
Lineage: Eukaryota; Metazoa; Chordata; Lepidosauria; Squamata; Cordylidae
Exons: 3
Source: RefSeq, a predicted model, not a curated record